This 69-nucleotide transfer RNA is filed under the name Crotaphatrema lamottei. RNAcentral describes it as "tRNA-Ala". The record is from RNAcentral. Lineage: Eukaryota; Metazoa; Chordata; Amphibia; Gymnophiona; Scolecomorphidae.
UAGACCUUAGCUUAAUUAAAGUAUCUGGGUUGCAUUCAGAAGAUGUGAGGUAGCACUUUGCAGGUCUUA